Small nuclear RNA from Ailuropoda melanoleuca (giant panda), 106 nucleotides. NCBI's taxonomy places the organism in Eukaryota, Metazoa, Chordata, Mammalia, Carnivora, Ursidae. The record is from Ensembl.
GUGCUCACUUCGGCAGCACGUAUACAAAAUUGGAACAAUUCAGAGAAGAUGAGCAUGGCCCCUGCGCAAGGAUGACACACAAAUUCAUGAAGGGUUCCAUAUUUUU